Long non-coding RNA from Ostrinia nubilalis (European corn borer), 874 nucleotides. RefSeq lists it as uncharacterized. The transcript is spliced from 6 exons. Lineage: Eukaryota; Metazoa; Arthropoda; Insecta; Lepidoptera; Crambidae. The record is from RefSeq and is a predicted model, not a curated record.
CAGUGCAAAGAAAAUAUGUUCAGUGUAGGUUUUUAUAGUUAAUUCUCCUUGAUUAGUCUCAUAGUCUGCCAUAAAUCAAAGAGCAAGGAGCAUAAUAUUUUGACAGCAUGACGAUAUACAUGAUUUUAAUAAAUUAAACAUUUUAUUGAUAGUUCAAUUCAAAGAGUUCAGCGCAGUUUUUGAUUUUAUAUUUACAUAAAAACAUUAAUUGACUACAGGCACAGAAAGAUUUGAUUGAGGAUGUGUACUGGAACAAAAUGUUGUUAUCUGGAAUUGCCAAUUGCGGGCUAUGUCUUAGGAGUAGUACAUAUAAUAUGGUCCCUUUACGACAUAAUUGCUAAUUUCAUAUUAAUGUCUGGAUCGGGUGGUGGUGGAGAACAUGGUAGGAAGAAAUAUCGAAUGAUGGUUAUCGGCCCGAUCAAUAAAGACGCGGGAGAUGGUUCAAGCGGGGCAUCCAAACCACAAAUCAUAGGGGAAAUAGUAGUAUCUGUAAUAGCCAUUAUAUUCUCUAUUCUACUUAUCAUUGGAAUUAAAAAGGGAAAGAAAAUAUUUGUCACGUGUUACUAUAUAUUUGGCAUAGUGUUGACGAUUUUUUUGUGUCUUGGUGCAAUUUUGAUGUUCGUUCAAGGCCAAAUAAUUAUGGCAAUAUCGGCUUUGAUAAUAACCGUUCUCUAUGUUCUCAUACUUGUCUUCUUGGUUAGGAGGCUGAGGAAUUCGAUGUCGAAUCCCACCUCACCUCAGUGACGACUAAGUUUUUACAAUUUAACGUGCGAUAGGAGGGAAAAUUCUGCGCGGUGCUACGCGAAAUUCUGGCCUAUAAUAUAGUUAUUAUAGUUUCUUGUAUUAUUAGUACUACUUUGUAAUAUUCCUUGGU